GCAUUUUCUCCGAGUUGAUAUAUCACCGGAGUCCCCCCAACGCAGGGUAGAGCACUGUGGAUUCGUUGUGUGAUAACCAGUUUAGCUCUUGAAUAACGUUCAAUUAAAUUGAAGGCUAUACAAUAAAUAGGUCUCGACUGAUUAUACGGCCCACCAAUGUAUGCUUCACACGGAUUCCCCUGUCUCUGAUUUUUUUUCGGAAGCAUUUGAAAAUACUCUUUCUUCACAUCAACAAUAAAAAUCUCAUUAGUUUUCUCAGAUUUCACUUGAAGCAUUAAAGUCAUACAACCUGAGAAACAUGAAGGUUUCUGUAGCGACGGUGAAUUCAACUCCAUGAGGAAUAGGGGGUAUACCAGACCUAUCUCUGUGUUUCUCAUUCGUUCUCAAGUUCAUGCAAAGUAUGCCCGACUGUCUGAAAGCACAAUGCUGGCUAUGCUAACUCCAAAUGUGUCUUCCAAUCAGCUAAUUACUGCUGAAAAAAACCAAACCCUGCUGUGACUCCUACAUUACUAUGUGAAAUUUGGAUAGUGCAAUGCCUUUCAUGGGAUGAUGUGAUUUCUGUGCUCUGUCUACGAACAGUUCCAGCUGGU
Halichondria panicea is the source of this 590-nucleotide long non-coding RNA. RefSeq lists it as uncharacterized. Lineage: Eukaryota; Metazoa; Porifera; Demospongiae; Suberitida; Halichondriidae. The record is from RefSeq and is a predicted model, not a curated record. The transcript has 3 exons.